Molecule: ribosomal RNA, 438 nt
Filed under: uncultured bacterium
Lineage: Bacteria
Description: bacterial SSU rRNA
Rfam family: Bacterial small subunit ribosomal RNA
Source: RNAcentral
ACGGUAUGUGGCAACACAUAGAGUGGCGAACGGGUGAGUAACACGUGGGAACGUACCCUACGCAGGGGGAUAACUGACCGAAAGGACAGCUAAUACCGCAUAAGACCGAAAGGUGAAAGGUGCAACUGCACCGGCGAAGGAGCGGCCCGCGGACCAUCAGCUAGUUGGUGGGGUAAGAGCCUACCAAGGCAACGACGGAUAGCCGGCGUGAGAGCGUGGCCGGCCACAAGGACACUGAGAUACGGGUCCUACUCCUACGGGAGGCAGCAGUGCGGAAUUUUAGAUAAUGGAGGCAACUCUGAUCUAGCGACGCCGCGUGCAGGAAGAAGGUCUUCGGAUUGUAAACUGCUGUGGUAAGGGAAAAAUGCCAUGUAGAGUGGAAAGCUACAUGGAGGGAUGGUACUUUACUAGAAAGCCCCGGCUAACUACGUGCCAGCA